CACUGGCAGCUCAAGUGGUAGCCAUUUUUAUUGGGCCUAAAGCGUUAGUAGCCGGUUUGAUAAGUCUCUGGUGAAAUCCCACAGCUUAACUGUGGGAAUUGCUGGAGAUACUAUUAGACUUGAGGUCGGGAGAGGUUAGCGGUACUCCCAGGGUAGGGGUGAAAUCCUGUAAUCCUGGGAGGACCACCUGUGGCGAAGGCGGCUAACUGGAACGAACCUGACGGUGAGGGACGAAAGCCAGGGGAGCAAACAGG
This 254-nucleotide ribosomal RNA is filed under the name uncultured bacterium. Its description in RNAcentral is "partial 16S ribosomal RNA". It matches the Rfam family "Archaeal small subunit ribosomal RNA", at positions 474 to 727 of the family's 1478-position model. The record is from RNAcentral.